This 684-nucleotide long non-coding RNA is filed under the name Androctonus crassicauda. The record is from RNAcentral. Lineage: Eukaryota; Metazoa; Arthropoda; Arachnida; Scorpiones; Buthidae.
UUGUCACAAGGGUUCCACAAAAGUGAAAAGGUUGGGAAACACUGCUCUAUACAUCCCUUUAUAAGUUAACAUAAAAUAUGUCCAUGUCCCCACUAUUAAUUGUGUUAUCUGUACUAUGCAUAAUACACCAGGUAGUAAAUUCCAUAUACAUGUAUGUUAACUGCGGUACCCGUUGUUAUAGUCUGGCGAGCACACUACACUAUGGCGAGCACACCACUUCCAUGACAUAGAUAGCAUGGUCGGAUCAUUAUCGUUAAUAAUAUUGUGCAGUGGCCAUCUUUUUUCUAUUUGAAUGGCUUCUAACAUAUUUAUGCCCGUAGGAUCUCGGAGUGGUUUUACCACAUUCGCUUGGUUCCACUUGAUGUUGCUGUCUUGUUCAUAUGCUUUAAUACUUAAUGCAGUAUCCAUCCUUCCAUCUUUUACACUACGCAUAUAUUCUUUUACUCUCUUGUUUAAGUUCCUCCUCGUGCUGCCUAUAUAAUAUUGUGUGGCAUCCUCCUCUACGUUAUAUCACAGAACAGUAUAAAUGCCCGUUUUUCUUCCCUCACUUAUGGGAUCUUUGUUGUUGCAGAACAAGUCGAAUACUGUGGAGUCACGUUUUUUUGCCAUUUUUGACUGUGUAUGCCUUAGAGCCUUGCCCAGGAUACGGUCAGUGUUUUCAUAAUACGUGAUGGUAGCAAAUCA